UUAAAUACAAUGAAAAGAAGUAGUAAAUUAAUUGAUGCUUUACAGAGAGAGGGAUUAGGUGAGAGCCCUUACGAUAGAUUAAUUGAAGCAGUCUUGGAGUAUCAACUUUGAAAUUAAGUAGGAGUUGACGGUGGUUCCGUUAUAACUUAAGGUUUUCCGAAGAUACUGUGAUUUUUACAGUAAUUAGGGUGGUACCGCGAGAUAUAUCCUCGCCCCUAUA
Molecule: non-coding RNA, 220 nt
Filed under: Paraclostridium sordellii
Lineage: Bacteria; Bacillati; Bacillota; Clostridia; Peptostreptococcales; Peptostreptococcaceae
Description: Clostridium sordellii T-box sequence
Rfam family: T-box leader
About the family: Uncharged tRNA acts as the effector for transcription antitermination of genes in the T-box leader family.
Source: RNAcentral